RNAcentral lists this ribosomal RNA (253 nucleotides) under uncultured bacterium. RNAcentral's name for it is "partial 16S ribosomal RNA". It matches the Rfam family "Bacterial small subunit ribosomal RNA", at positions 524 to 776 of the family's 1533-position model. The record is from RNAcentral.
UACGUAGGGAGCAAGCGUUGUCCGGAAUCAUUGGGCGUAAAGCGCGCGUAGGCGGCCCCGUAAGUCCGCUGUGAAAGUCAAAGGCUCAACCUUUGAAAGCCGGUGGAUACUGUGGGGCUAGAGGAUGGAAGAGGCUCGCGGAAUUCCCAGUGUAGAGGUGAAAUUCGUAGAUAUUGGGAAGAACACCGGUGGCGAAGGCGGCGAGCUGGUCCAUUACUGACGCUGAGGCGCGACAGCGUGGGGAGCAAACAGG